RNAcentral lists this ribosomal RNA (253 nucleotides) under uncultured bacterium. Its description in RNAcentral is "partial 16S ribosomal RNA". It matches the Rfam family "Bacterial small subunit ribosomal RNA", at positions 524 to 776 of the family's 1533-position model. The record is from RNAcentral.
UACGAACUGUGCAAACGUUAUUCGGAAUCACUGGGCUUAAAGGGUGCGUAGGCGGCUUGUUAAGUAGGGUGUGAAAUCCCCCGGCUCAACCGGGGAAUUGCGCCCUAAACUGGCGAGCUUGAGUGAGAUAGGGGUGUGUGGAACUUCCAGUGGAGCGGUGAAAUGUGUUGAUAUUGGAAGGAACGCCAGUGGCGAAAGCGACACACUGGGUCUCAACUGACGCUGAGGCACGAAAGUCAGGGGAGCAAACGGG